AUUGAACGCUGGCGGCAUGCCUUACACAUGCAAGUCGAACGGCAGCGCGGGAGCAAUCCUGGCGGCGAGUGGCGAACGGGUGAGUAAUAUAUCGGAACGUGCCCAGUAGUGGGGGAUAGCCCGGCGAAAGCCGGAUUAAUACCGCAUACGACCUGAGGGUGAAAGCGGGGGAUCGCAAGACCUCGCGCUACUGGAGCGGCCGAUAUCAGAUUAGCUAGUUGGUGGGGUAAAGGCCUACCAAGGCAACGAUCUGUAGUCGGUCUGAGAGGACGACCAGCCACACUGGGACUGAGACACGGCCCAGACUCCUACGGGAGGCAGCAGUGGGGAAUUUUGGACAAUGGGCGCAAGCCUGAUCCAGCAAUGCCGCGUGCAGGAAGAAGGCCUUCGGGUUGUAAACUGCUUUUGUCAGGGAAGAAAUCUUCUGGGCUAAUAUCCCGGGAGGAUGACGUACCUGAAGAAUAAGCACCGCA
RNAcentral lists this ribosomal RNA (473 nucleotides) under Leptothrix sp. oral taxon 025. RNAcentral describes it as "bacterial SSU rRNA". It matches the Rfam family "Bacterial small subunit ribosomal RNA", at positions 29 to 497 of the family's 1533-position model. Lineage: Bacteria; Pseudomonadati; Pseudomonadota; Betaproteobacteria; Burkholderiales; Sphaerotilaceae. The record is from RNAcentral.